UACAGAGGUCCCAAGCGUUGUUCGGAUUCACUGGGCGUAAAGGGUGCGUAGGUGGCCAGGUAAGUUUGAUGUGAAAUCUCUGAGCUUAACUCAGAACGGCCAAGUGAUACUGCAGUGCUAGAGUGUGGAAGGGGCAAUCGGAAUUCUUGGUGUAGCGGUGAAAUGCGUAGAUAUCAAGAGGAACACCUGAGGUGAAGACGGGUUGCUGGGCCAACACUGACGCUGAGGCACGAAAGCGUGGGGAGCAAACAGG
This 253-nucleotide ribosomal RNA is filed under the name uncultured bacterium. Its description in RNAcentral is "partial 16S ribosomal RNA". It matches the Rfam family "Bacterial small subunit ribosomal RNA", at positions 524 to 776 of the family's 1533-position model. The record is from RNAcentral.